Molecule: ribosomal RNA, 868 nt
Filed under: Streptococcus thermophilus
Lineage: Bacteria; Bacillati; Bacillota; Bacilli; Lactobacillales; Streptococcaceae
Description: bacterial SSU rRNA
Rfam family: Bacterial small subunit ribosomal RNA
Source: RNAcentral
UUGCUCUUCUUGGAUGAGUUGCGAACGGGUGAGUAACGCGUAGGUAACCUGCCUUGUAGCGGGGGAUAACUAUUGGAAACGAUAGCUAAUACCGCAUAACAAUGGAUGACACAUGUCAUUUAUUUGAAAGGGGCAAUUGCUCCACUACAAGAUGGACCUGCGUUGUAUUAGCUAGUAGGUGAGGUAAUGGCUCACCUAGGCGACGAUACAUAGCCGACCUGAGAGGGUGAUCGGCCACACUGGGACUGAGACACGGCCCAGACUCCUACGGGAGGCAGCAGUAGGGAAUCUUCGGCAAUGGGGGCAACCCUGACCGAGCAACGCCGCGUGAGUGAAGAAGGUUUUCGGAUCGUAAAGCUCUGUUGUAAGUCAAGAACGGGUGUGAGAGUGGAAAGUUCACACUGUGACGGUAGCUUACCAGAAAGGGACGGCUAACUACGUGCCAGCAGCCGCGGUAAUACGUAGGUCCCGAGCGUUGUCCGGAUUUAUUGGGCGUAAAGCGAGCGCAGGCGGUUUGAUAAGUCUGAAGUUAAAGGCUGUGGCUCAACCAUAGUUCGCUUUGGAAACUGUCAAACUUGAGUGCAGAAGGGGAGAGUGGAAUUCCAUGUGUAGCGGUGAAAUGCGUAGAUAUAUGGAGGAACACCGGUGGCGAAAGCGGCUCUCUGGUCUGUAACUGACGCUGAGGCUCGAAAGCGUGGGGAGCGAACAGGAUUAGAUACCCUGGUAGUCCACGCCGUAAACGAUGAGUGCUAGGUGUUGGAUCCUUUCCGGGAUUCAGUGCCGCAGCUAACGCAUUAAGCACUCCGCCUGGGGAGUACGACCGCAAGGUUGAAACUCAAAGGAAUUGACGGGGGCCCGCACAAGCGGU